This 253-nucleotide ribosomal RNA is filed under the name uncultured bacterium. RNAcentral's name for it is "partial 16S ribosomal RNA". It matches the Rfam family "Bacterial small subunit ribosomal RNA", at positions 524 to 776 of the family's 1533-position model. The record is from RNAcentral.
UACGUAGGGCGCAAGCGUUAUCCGGAAUUAUUGGGCGUAAAGAGCUCGUAGGCGGCCUCGUCCGUCCGGCGUGAAAUGCCUGGGCUCAACCUAGGAAUUGCGCUCGAUACAGCGAGGCUAGAGUGUGGGAGAGGUUGGUGGAAUUCCCAGUGUAGAGGUGAAAUUCGUAGAUAUUGGGAAGAAUACCGGUGGCGAAGGCGGCCAACUGGACCACAACUGACGCUGAGGCGCGAAAGCGUGGGGAGCAAACAGG